GUUAGGAAUAUUGGACAAUGGGCGCAAGCCUGAUCCAGCCAUGCCGCGUGAGUGAUGAAGGCCUUCGGGUUGUAAAGCUCUUUAGUCCACGAAUAUAAUGACUGUAGUGGAAGAAUAAGCCCCGGCUAACUUCGUGCCAGCAGCCGCAGUAAUACGAAGGGGGCGAGCGUUAUUCGGAAUCACUGGGCGUAAAGCGUGCGUAGGCUGUUUUGUAAGUCAGAAGUGAAAGCCCAGGGCUUAACCCUGGAAUUGCUUUUGAAACUACAAGACUCGAAUUCGGGAGAGGAUAGCGGAAUUGUCAGUGUAGCAGUGAAAUGCGUAGAUAUUGACAGGAACACCAGUGGCGCAAGCGGCUAUCUGGACCGAUAUUGACGCUGAGGCACGAAAGCGUGGGGAGCAAACAGGAUUAGAUACCCUAGUAGUCC
RNAcentral lists this ribosomal RNA (425 nucleotides) under uncultured bacterium. RNAcentral's name for it is "partial 16S ribosomal RNA". It matches the Rfam family "Bacterial small subunit ribosomal RNA", at positions 354 to 796 of the family's 1533-position model. The record is from RNAcentral.